This 329-nucleotide ribosomal RNA is filed under the name uncultured bacterium. RNAcentral's name for it is "bacterial SSU rRNA". It matches the Rfam family "Bacterial small subunit ribosomal RNA", at positions 8 to 334 of the family's 1533-position model. The record is from RNAcentral.
AGGGUUUGAUCCUGGCUCAGGAUGAACGCUGGCGGCGUGCUUAACACAUGCAAGUCGAACGGGAUCCAUCAGGCUUUGCUUGGUGGUGAGAGUGGCGAACGGGUGAGUAAUGCGUGACCGACCUGCCCCAUACACCGGAAUAGCUCCUGGAAACGGGUGGUAAUGCCGGAUGCUCCAGCCUUCCGCAUGGUGGGCCGGGAAAGAUUUCAUCGGUAUGGGAUGGGGUCGCGUCCUAUCAGGUAGUCGGCGGGGUAACGGCCCACCGAGCCUACGACGGGUAGCCGGCCUGAGAGGGCGACCGGCCACAUUGGGACUGAGAUACGGCCCAG